AGCGAACGCUGGCGGCAGGCCUAAUACAUGCAAGUCGAACGGUCUCUUCGGAGGCAGUGGCGGACGGGUGAGUAACGCGUGGGGACGUGCCCUUUGGUACGGAACAACUGAGGGAAACUUCAGCUAAUACCGUAUGUGCCCUUCGGGGGAAAGAUUUAUCGCCAUUGGAGCGGCCCGCGUUGGAUUAGCUAGUUGGUGGGGUAAUGGCCCACCAAGGCGACGAUCCAUAGCUGGUCUGAGAGGAUGAUCAGCCACACUGGGACUGAGACACGGCCCAGACUCCUACGGGAGGCAGCAGUAGGGAAUCUUGCGCAAUGGGCGAAAGCCUGACGCAGCCAUGCCGCGUGAAUGAUGAAGGUCUUAGGAUUGUAAAAUUCUUUCACCGGGGACGAUAAUGACGGUACCCGGAGAAGAAGCCCCGGCUAACUUCGUGCCAGCAGCCGCGGUAAU
RNAcentral lists this ribosomal RNA (450 nucleotides) under uncultured bacterium. RNAcentral describes it as "bacterial SSU rRNA". It matches the Rfam family "Bacterial small subunit ribosomal RNA", at positions 29 to 524 of the family's 1533-position model. The record is from RNAcentral.